GGAGGGACAGCUCAGUGGUAGAGUGCUGGCUUAUUUAGCAUGCGCAAGGUCCUAGGUUCAAUCCCUAGUACCGCCA
This 76-nucleotide transfer RNA is filed under the name Camelus bactrianus (Bactrian camel). It matches the Rfam family "tRNA". From Rfam's summary of the family: Transfer RNA (tRNA) molecules are approximately 80 nucleotides in length. The record is from Rfam by way of RNAcentral. Lineage: Eukaryota; Metazoa; Chordata; Mammalia; Artiodactyla; Camelidae. RNAcentral also lists the same sequence under 1 other name.